GUUUUGAGAGAAUGACCAUUCACACUGGAACUGAGACCGGGUCCAGACUCUUACGGGAGGCAACCAUGGGGAAUAUGGCACAAUUGGUCCAAGCCUGGAACAGCCAUUCCGCGUGUUUGAAGAAGCCCUUCGGUUUGUAAAGCACUUUCAGCGGGGAGGAAGGGUCACUAGCUAAUACCUAGUGCCAUUGACGUUACUCGCAGAAGAAGCACCGGCUAACUCCGUGCCAGCAGCCGCGGUAAUACGGAGGGUGCAAGCGUUAAUCGGAAUUACUGGGCGUAAAGCGCACGCAGCCGGUUUGUUAAGUCAGAUGUGAAAUCCCCGAGCUCAACUUGGGAACUGCAUUUGAAACUG
RNAcentral lists this ribosomal RNA (354 nucleotides) under bacterium LimC-1-J-25. RNAcentral's name for it is "bacterial SSU rRNA". It matches the Rfam family "Bacterial small subunit ribosomal RNA", at positions 289 to 635 of the family's 1533-position model. The record is from RNAcentral.